RNAcentral lists this ribosomal RNA (348 nucleotides) under uncultured bacterium. RNAcentral's name for it is "bacterial SSU rRNA". It matches the Rfam family "Bacterial small subunit ribosomal RNA", at positions 29 to 403 of the family's 1533-position model. The record is from RNAcentral.
AACGAACGCUGGCGGCAUGCCUAACACAUGCAAGUCGAACGAGACCUUCGGGUCUAGUGGCGCACGGGUGCGUAACGCGUGGGAAUCUGCCCUUAGGUUCGGAAUAACUUCGGGAAACUGAAGCUAAUACCGGAUGAUGACGUAAGUCCAAAGAUUUAUCGCCUAAGGAUGAGCCCGCGUUGGAUUAGCUAGUUGGUGAGGUAAAGGCUCACCAAGGCGACGAUUCAUAGCUGGUCUGAGAGGAUGAUCAGCCACACUGGGACUGAGACACGGCCCAGACUCCUACGGGAGGCAGCAGUGGGGAAUAUUGGACAAUGGGCGAAAGACCUGAUUCAGCAAUGCCGCGUG